GGGGAUUUAGCUCAAUGGUAGAGCACUUGCCUAGCAAGUGCAAGGCCCUGGGUUCAGUCCCCA
RNAcentral lists this transfer RNA (63 nucleotides) under Rattus norvegicus (Norway rat). It matches the Rfam family "tRNA". Rfam says of the family: Transfer RNA (tRNA) molecules are approximately 80 nucleotides in length. Their secondary structure includes four short double-helical elements and three loops (D, anti-codon, and T loops). Lineage: Eukaryota; Metazoa; Chordata; Mammalia; Rodentia; Muridae. The record is from Rfam by way of RNAcentral.